GCCUCCCUAGCUCAGUCGGUAGAGCAUCAGACUUUUAAUCUGAGGGUCGUGGGUUCGAGUCCCACGGGGGGCG
This is a non-coding RNA of Gongylonema pulchrum, 73 nucleotides long. NCBI's taxonomy places the organism in Eukaryota, Metazoa, Nematoda, Chromadorea, Rhabditida, Gongylonematidae. The record is from Rfam.